This 19960-nucleotide long non-coding RNA is filed under the name Malus domestica (apple). Its description in RNAcentral is "long non-coding RNA (MDOM_LNC003886)". Lineage: Eukaryota; Viridiplantae; Streptophyta; Magnoliopsida; Rosales; Rosaceae. The record is from RNAcentral.
AAGGUUGCUUGUCACAAUCGCGUUAAUUGAAUUCUUGGCAAACGUAUCAUGCAUUCAUAGUUACAAUUGCGUCGUCAACGCUUAUGAUUUUCAUGGAACUUAAUGAUGUUUAAUUGUAUCUCUAUUAUGCAUUCAUAUAGGGGACUUUUAGAGAAUGAUUUGGGUUGUCGCAUGCAUUCAUCCAAUUCAAUGAGUAAAGGAAAAUUUGAGGGUUAAUUUGUGCAUCACGGUUAAUCUGGGGUGUUGAGCAUCAUAGUUUAUUGAAAAGCAAUUGGAGAUUGAUUUGUAUGCAAGUGUGUCAUGUGUGGAGAAAGACCUUCUAGCUAGCCCAUCAUCUAUCCAAAACAACCAAUUUCGUGCAAAUCUGUUCAGUUCUAGUUUCUAUUUUGUUUUACUUUAUUUUCGUCCAAAACCCAAUCCCCCUUUACUUUAGUGUGUCUAAUUAGUUAGAAUCUGUUUUAGUUUGUGUUUUUAAGUGUUUUAAGUCUAUAGAGUCUAGUUAAGUGUUUUUAAGUUUCUUUUUGUAAGUCAGUUUAGUUUAGAUUAGCAAUCCCUCCUAAUCCCCGGUUCAGAAUGAUCCCUACUUAUACAUAUACUACAAUUGUCAAAAGGGUUUAAUUUGAGUGCUUAACUUUCAUCACAUCAGUGGGUAAAAGACAUGAAUCUCUACAUGACUCAAGAAGCUGAGAAACCAUUAAAGCCAACAAUGGUAUGAAAAAGCUGAAUAAGCCUCCGCCAUGAUCUUCAUUCAAAGAAUUAUGCUCAAAGCAUUACAAAUGGAAGUGUCUCCUGAACGAGAAUUUCAUGGCUUUUUGGCACGCUCAUACAAACUGCCUAAUCAUGAAAGAUAUUGCCCGAAGCACAUCAUGAUUACGUCCAUGAAUGAGUACGAUUCUGAAGUUUAUAAUUCUGAUCGAAUAUUGACUGGAGAAUAUUUUCCUCGUUCUUCCAUGUUUCUAACUUGUUCUUGAAGUGGCAUUGUAGAAAACGAAAGUUUACUAAAAUUCUUGGAUCUAAUUACUACCACACUUGUGAGAGAAAGGUACUCCAACAAUUCAGCUGGAAGGUACCGAAUGGUAUAAACCCAGUUUCGACUGGAGUCUACCAAAUGGUGAUGCCCUGCUUCGGUAGAGGUGUACCGAAGGGCGUGCUUUGCUUACAUAGAGGUGCACCCAAUGGCGAGCUCUGCUUCGAAAGAGGUGCACCAAACGAUAUUACUCUGCUUAGGCAGAAGCUUACCGAACAACCCCUCCAACUUCGACUGGAGUCUACCGAACCCAAGUCUGGGUCUAUCUUUCUCACAAUCCAAUUUUGAGUUUGUUUUUUUACAAUAUAUGGUAGAAUCAGGGCCUACCAAGAUGUGACAUCACGCCUGAAGUGUGAUCUUUGGCACCUAAGACCUAAAACUUCAAGAAUAGGGAUAGUAUUCUCGAACCUCAACCUUGCAUAAUCUACUUCCAUCUUGAUCGAAGAGAUCAUUGGUGAUGCAUUUAUUUAUGCCUCCACCAAUGUCAUGGAUGAGUACCAUUCUUGCAGUCAAUAUGUGAAACUAAUUUUUCUCCACCGAACACCAUUGGAAGGGCAGAAUUUUCACAUGAAUGGCUAAUCUUAUUGAUAUUGUCUUGGAAUAUGAAUAAAUUUUGGUUUACUUGGUGAACGUUUUUCUAUGAUCUUGGAUGUUUUAAUUAUGGAUAAUCUUAUUGAUAUUGUCUUGCAAUAUGGGUUAAUUGAAUCAUGUUUCUUGUAUAAAUGUGACCAAAUUCAAUUAAACACGUGAUUAGGUAUGAAUGUGGGAAAGUUAGUUGUCUAGAUGAAUGCAAUACUAUACAUACUAACUUUAUCCCUAAAUCACAUCUCUAGCAAUGACUUUAGGUCUAUCUAACCUGAUUAAGAGUAUUGGCACGCUCCCCGUUGUAUGCAUGGUACUACAUUACCAUUUAAGAAACCUUAUAUUCUCCCCGUUCUAAAAGAACGUUGUUGAGUUUUAAGGAUACUCGAGAUGACAAUGAUCAUGAAUGAAACCAUUGAAGAAAAUAGAAUGAUAUAUCUUUGCACCAUCUUAAAAAAUGAGCAUAAAGCUUCGUUUUAGGGCCAAUGGGCUAACUCUCGACUAGAAUACACCACGUGUGGCUGACCUGAAGCCAGGUGAUUUGAGUAGUUUACUUGCCUUGGCACAACCUUUUGGAACACUUAGGUCAAACAAUGAUGCCAUAACAUAUCUCAUUACCUGAAGUAAUGAGGUUAUGCUUACAAGCACACUUUGUCAAGCUUGCUCAUUUAGGAAAUUUGAUUUCUAUAUCAUCCAUCGCAAAGAUACGAAAUGACCCUAUUUUCAUAGUGGAUUCAAGGGAAUAUAUGCGGACUAAUCCAACCAAAAUGCGGACCAUAUAAAUACUUAUGGUUUGGUUGAUAAAUCGACAAACUGGUCACAUGUUUGUCCACACAUAUUGCUGCUAAACCUUAUGGUUGAUUUUAAGGGUUCACCACUCUAAUUAUCCCAUAAAGUCUGGAAGACUGGACAAUGCCAAAGAGUUUAUGUUGAAGAUGCUUCGAUAAGUAUUGCAUUUCUUUUGGGUUCAUAAUUGGACAUCAAAUUCCCAUUUUCACCCUAAAACAGCCUUGCAGAGUGAUCAUAAAGCGCAAAUUAAAUAAUCGCUUGGACAUUAGUGAGCGCACCAAGCUUUCGUUUUCUGCUUAGGGCUAUGUAAUCUUGUAUGCAACUAUGUUGGUCCGCCUUGAGGCCUAUUGCCACCUAACCUAUUUGACUUUAUUGUUAGUUACUAUGUAUGAACUUGACGUUUCAUACUUAUGCAUUUAAGUGUGCAUUCCAUAUGCCAAGUUGCACUGCCGCAACGUACCAACAUGGGACCUCAAAGAAGGAUGUGAAUCUUUAUCGAUCAUGAUUCUCCUUCGCACUAGCUUUUUAGAGCCCUUGCAUGUGAUCUCUUUACCGCUCAUUUGCAGAUUAUCACUUCAAUGAGACAGUCUUCCCAACGUUAGAGGGAGAUAAGAACAUCAACUUUCUUGUAGAACGGUGUGAAUUUGCAUGGACGUUGCCCACUGUGUCUCAUCUUAAUCCUCGUAUCGCACAAUUUUGAUGAAUUCUAGCUUUCAGAAUGUUGCUCCAGAUGCAUUCCUUUGAUCUAUCUAAAAUGAUGAGAUCAUAUACCAGCUGCAAAUAUGCCUGCAAUGGUAGACAUAAUGUCGAGUCAACAUCCUUGAAAGGUGUGCCACCCUUGAAAGACGGUUUGGCCAUCCAUGUUGGAUGACCUGGUACCCUGGCGGAUAACUAAUCAAUCUAUCUCGGCCUGAAGCAUAACAUAUCAUUUGGUUCAUAGGAUUCACUUUCUUAGACGAAAAAAAGAUCAUGGCACAACAUAAAUCUAUACUUGAUCGCUAUCUCAAUUAUUUCCAUCUCAUAAGGUUAAUCCGGGUUACUCCUGAGAUUUGAAGUUCUUGGUCCAAUAUACUAGUUUGGAUAAGAUAAUGGAAUUGGAAUAAGAUUAUCAUUGAUGAUGUUUUCAUUUAUAUGGUAGCUACCGACAUAAAUGAAAAUGGAUGAUAUUGAAUCGUGUUCCGUUGAUUAGUGGCAACGUAGAACUGAUUGGACAACCAAAAUUACAAUCCAGGUUAAAUUCCUUACCAAAGUGUGUUUUGGACCUAUCAUUCCUACACUGCCUAAGGUAACCCUGUUGUGUUAUUAGUGGGAAAGGAAAUGUAGAGAGAUGAAUGAGAUCGUACAAUGUAGUGCACGCCUUGCGGCGUAAGGUUUCUCUUAAACUCCUUAUGAUUGAUUGUAGCGUUAUGAAAUGUGGUUAGUGUUUCUCCAUUGAGAUAUUGAUGCAAAGAUUUACAUAUAAGUUCCCAAAUAAUUAUUUGGAGCGUUCACUUAUGGAUUCAAGCAAUCCAGCGGAUGUGGUAUAACCAUCUAAGUGAUUAUUUGAUCAGUUAGAGAUAUGAAUUAUGCCCUUGCAUGUUAAACUUUUGAAUUGCUAAAGUUACAGUUUAUGUCCAUGACAUGAAUCUCACUAUGACUUUAGAAAAAGCUUGAGAAAACUGCCACACACCUAAAGACGGAAUUUGAGAUGAAGGAUCUUAGGAAAACCCAUUUAUGCCUUGACCUAAAGUUCAAACGUUGUUUUGACAGUAUUGUGGUCUACUGGUCGAACUACAUCCUGAAGAUGUUACCUUUAAGUAUACAUAUGAUCUUCCAUACCCUAUAUGCAAAUGAGACCUUUGAAGAAGUUAUGGAAUCUGAAGUUCCAUAUCUGAGUUCAACUUUGAACUUUCUUGUACUUAGCUCAUUACAUUAGAUAUGACAUCUUAUUCGUUGUUGAUUUAUUGGUAAAGAUGCAGCACCGCGCCUACACACGACCACUAAAUUGGUAAUAAAGACUUUUUUCCGCUACCUUGAAAGGUCUUAUGGAUUUGGGCUAAUCCUAACACAUCCCGAGCGGAUUUGACCCCCUUGAUCCUUGGAAUGAUGCUUGCCGUGUUUGUUAUGCUGACACAUAUUACUUAUCAAACUAGCACAAGGCACAUCCCCGAAUGGUUAUGUCUUUACUGUUAGAGAUAUCGCAAUAUCUUGGAGGUCCAAAAUAUGACCUUAGUUGCGAAAUCUUCGAACCGUUCCAAGACUCACCUCAUUUCACUUUGCCACACGUAAGACAUGGUUAAGAGCUAUUGUUAAGCAUAUUUGAAGUACUUACUAUUUUCAUCCAUCGUUGAGUCCUGAUGAUAAUCCGUGAAGACUAUGCCGCAUGUAUCAACCAGACUAAGACAUGAUACUUCAACAAAGUCAACACCACGACACAUUGCGUCUACAUUUCAUCAACAAAGCAUUAGGAGAUUGAAGUCAAGUAAGCCGAUCCCAGACAACCUUUCUGACCUCUACCCAAUGUCAUUACCAAAGUUAACCUUCCAGAAGCUUGUCCGAGGAAUUAGUAUGCCUAACUAUUUGUAUACAAUGCUCAUAGUUCUCAUUUGGAAGUUUUGUCAAAUUUAGGAGGAGUAUCCAGAAGUAUACUCACUUGAUCUUAAUGUACUCUUUUUCCUUAUGAAUAGGAGCAUUUUUCCCACUACGUUUUUGCCACCUAACUAGGUUUUGACGAGGCUCCAAUUUUAGGCUGGUCAUACCCUUAUGAGUUUCUCUACUCGCGUCUAGAAGAUGUUUAGUUUUGACUUACUUCUCAUUUUUCUCCUUAGUCUAUGAGUUUUUUCCCACCUUAGGUUUUACCAUAGCGAAGUUUUGUGAGUUUUACAUUUUAUGCAUUCUUCCUUUGUUUUGAGACUCACAUUCACUCAUUGUGCCAAAGACUUUAUCAACUAUACUUACUUCAUCGCUGAAUACGUGAUGCGCCAUUUAGUUAAGUAUUUACACACUCAAAAGUGAGUGUUGUAGUUCUAUUAGAUUAGGAAUGUGAUUAUGUAAAUCCUAUUAUAUCUGAGAUAUUCUUAUGGGAUUCUACCAUAUCACUUAGACUAGAUAUUAUCCUGUUAGAGUUGUAAUUCUAUUGGGGUAAGGAAUUUACCUUCCUUACUACUAUAAAUAAAGGCACAAUGGGGUAGAAUAACAUACACCUCACAAUUACACAUCUAUCUCUUCUCUUUCUAUGUUGCCGCAUCCCCUUUCUCUAAGCCCUUAUAUUAUUCAGUAAAUUAUGCCUGCAACAAAAUUCAAAUUAUGUUUUUGUUUUAAUAAUUAAUGCAUAUUUUGUUCAAAUGUCUCCCAUUAAAUAUUUGAAUUUAUUAAUAUAAACAUUUUAAAUUAUUAAUUUUUUAAACUUUGUCCAAAUAUAUAUCUUUAUAAAUUUGCCUAUAUAAGAAAACAUUAAAACAUAGUGGCACAUAAGAAAAAUAUGAAAAUACAUAAGUGUACCGAAAUAUAUUAAAAUAAAUUUUUGUACCUAAAUUUUUGUACCGAAAUAUAUUAUAAUCCAUUAAUAUGCCUAAAUGUUUGUAACAAAUAUAUGUAUCGAAAUGCAUUACAUAGAAUUAGGGUACCUAACUUUGUUUGCCAAAAUAUAUUAUAUUCAUUUGAUAUACGUAAAUGUUUGUACUAAAAUGUAUAUACCGAAAUAUAUUACAUAAAUAGAACUAGUGUACCUAAAUGUUAGCACCGAAAUGUAUUAUAUUGUACCUAAAUGUUAGCACAAGAAAUAUAUCUAUCAAAAUGUAUGCACUAAAAUGUAUUAUAUUGAAUUAAUGUAUCUAAAUGUGUGUACCGAAAUGAAUAUAUUAAAAUAUAUUAAAAGAUGGUGAAGUAUUAAGGAAGCAACAGCGAGGAUAGUUUCUCUAAACAAGUUCAGUUACAAAGCUAGUAUUAUUGUUUAUGUGAGGGACUCUGCAAGAACGUUUUAAGCCUUGUAUUCUAAUACCAUUGCUGCAUGAGCGGUUGGGAAUCUAAGCUGAAAAUCAUUAGACAUAUUCAAUACCGACAAGCUUGAUUAUGUCUCUUGCGCUUUCUUCUUGUCAAUUUAGUAUAUAAUCUUUGUCUGUUCGUAUAUUGCUGCAGGUUGUGCUUCAAGCUCUUGUAUCCGUGAAUCCUAGCUAGAUGUUAUAGUACUCUUUUAUUUUCUUUUUUAGGUCGUCAAUAUUUUUUCAUGUGUAUAAAAGUAAGUAUUGAAGAAUGAUGUGUUUUUUUUUUUUGGACGAAAAGUUAAAAUUCAUUAAAACUUAAAGCAAAAUACAAAGCCAACCAACGGCCCAAGAUAAACAAUGGGAGGUUCAAAACCAUAGCGACAAAUGACUAAAAACUGAAAACAGACGAUAAAGAUAAAACAACCUAAAAUACAUCCCAGAGAAACAUCCUGCCGCCACCAAACUCUCGCUAGCAACCACCAGAGUGACAGCCAUGUAGGAACCAGAGUGAAGGAGGAUCCGCAGAGAGUCAAGCACAACAAAAGUAACAAAACAAACAAAAAGAAGGAAAAUCCACAGCAAAAAAUAGAUCUUGGAGUGCUGGAACCAACCAAGCUAUUUAAAUCUGUCCCGCCAACCACCACACCUACAAGGAAAGAACCAAGUUGACAUAACAUGGGGGUGGAGAGGGCCAAUGAAGAUGUGUAAAACACCCUUACUACGACGAAGGCCCCCAAAUUUUUCGGCAUGCCGGUAAAGCAAGGGGCAGUGGAGUAGAGAUCUACAUCCCAAAUCGAGUCCUAAACUCAAAGAUCUGAUUUUUGGUGGGGAUAAAGGGGAGGUAAAGGAGGGUUCACAGAUGGAGGUGUCGGUAAGGGAAAGGGCUGGGGAGAUGGGUGUGAGAGAAAAUGGCUGCAAAAAUGGACUUAGAUUGUGAAACAGGGGCAAAAGGAAGGAGGAGAAGAAAAGUAAUGCUGCAAAGCGGAAAAUUCAUAGCUAAAGCCGGUCAAAAAUGCUGGGAUAACCGCGAAGGACGCCGAGAAUGUAACCUCACAAACCGACAACCAUAGGCAGCAAAAGGGAAGGAUCUAGACAAAAAUACUUAAAAGGAGAAGAAGAAGGAGGGAGAGCAAGGAGGCCUGCCGACCCCAACCAAAGGAAGGAGUCGGCGACGAGAGCAGGGGAAAAUGGGGUUCUGUGUGCAAGAGAGAAUAGAGAGAGCGGCCACGGUUUGAUCCAUUUGCCAUUGUUGAAGAAUGAUGUGUGAUUGACUAAAAUAAUGUAGAAAUAUUAAUGGAAAAGCUUAUGUUAUGUUUCUUUCUAUUAUUAGUAUUUUUAUUAAUUAUUUUUAUCAACAUGACAGAUAAAAUACCAGUAAACUAAAUGUUGAUCGGUUUGAUCAUGACAACGUUCCAACUCACAAUUACCCUAGGUACACAGUAGCAUGGAAGCGAGGGUUUGCAUGCCCAAACAAAGGGUACAUUUCUUCAAGGAUCCCUGAUCUUUAGUGUGAUCAAAUUUUCCCCCGUUGGGUGGCAUGUUCCAAGUAAACUCUAAUCGAAGCCUUACAAAUGCAAGGAGCACCAUAUGUCACUAUAUAUAUAUAUAUAUGGUGAACCUUGGCCUAGGCUAACUCCUAUGCAAACCUCUCCAUCCACUAAAGAACGUAAUGAACCUCAACUCUUUCUCUUCCAAGUCCAGUACUAGUUGCUCCUCAUAAUUCAGAAGAAAGAAUGCUUUUCAAUGAUAUUUUAUUUCAUAUCAAAACAAGGUAUAUAUACAACCCUAUACAGAUAUGGGAAAGAAUAAGAGAAGAAUAAUUACAUCCUAAACUAGGAAACCAAUUACAGUAGGAAUCCCACAAUUAUAGGAAUCCUAAUAUAAGUCAACACUCCCCCUCAAGUUGGUGCAUAGAUGUUGCACAUGCCCAACUUGUCUAGAAAUCUGGAGAACUUGUUACUAGAAACCGCCUUCGUGAGAAUAUCUGCUACUUGGUCGUCCGUUCCUAUGGGAGGAACCUCAAUUACUUUACUAUCUAGCUUCUCUUUAAUAAAGAACCGAUCAACCUCUACAUGCUUGGUCCGAUCAUGUUGCACAGGAUUAUGAGCAAUAUCCCGUGCCGCUUUAUUGUCACAGAAUAACUUCAUAGGUAGAUCUUGUUUAACCCCCACAUCUUGCAACAGAAACUUAAGCCACAAGAGUUCACAAAUACCGAGUGCCAUGCCUCUAAAUUCGGCUUCUGCGCUUGACCUUGAUACGACAUUCUGCUUCUUGCUUCUCCACGUUACUAGAUUUCCCCCAACAAAGGUGAAAUACCCAGAUGUCGAGCGUCUAUCAUCCGUCGAUCCUGCCCAAUCAGCAUCCGUAUAGCAGUCAAUUCUGAAAUGCUCAUUUUUCCGAAAUAAAAUUCCUUUACUAGGGCUUCCCUUUAAGUAACUCAAUAUUCUCAUAACUGCACUCAUAUGUUGUUCUCCUGGAUUGUGCAUAUAUUGACUAAUCACACUUAAGGCAUGAGCAAGAUCAGGCCUAGUGUGAGCCAAGUACAUUAAUCUUCCUACUAACCUUUGAUACCUCCCUUUAUCAACCGGUACUUGGUUCUGAUCUAUACCCAACUUCAUUCCUUCGGCCAAAUGAGUAGACACCGGCUUACAUGCUGUCAUACCGGUUUCUUCCAACAGGUCAAGAACAUACUUCCUUUGUGAUAGAAAUAUCCCGGACUUGCAUCUUGAUACUUCAAUCCCAAGAAAAUAUUUCAAAGGACCAAGGUCUUUCAUUUCAAACUCUGUGGACAAAUAACUUUUCAAGGCUGCUUGCUCAACAGGAUCAUCACCAGUAACCACCAUAUCAUCCACAUACACGAUUAGAGCCGUAACCUUUCCGUUCUGGUGUUUCAGAAACAACGUGUGAUCCCAAUUGCUCUGUAUAUACCCAAAUGCCCUCAUGGACCUGGUAAAUCUACCAAACCAGGCUCGAGGAGACUGCUUUAAUCCAUACAGUGAUUUCUUGAGCCUACAUACCUUUUGUUUCUGUCUGUCCGAAUCACUGCACCCUGGUGGAAGAUCCAUGUAAAUCUCCUCAGUCAGAUCUCCAUGGAGGAAAGCAUUUUUUACGUCGAACUGUUGCAAAGGCCAAUCCAGAUUUGCUGCUAAGGACAGUAGAACACGAACUGUAUUGAUCUUUGCCACUGGUGCGAAUGUAUCAGUGUAAUCAAUGCCAUAUUUCUGUGUAUACCCCUUUGCCACCAAUCUUGCUUUAAAGCGAUCUAUCUUUCCGUCGACUUUAUAUUUUACUGUAUAAACCCAUUUGCAUCCCACUGUUUUCUUUCCGGCUGGCAAGUCUAUUAUGUCCCAGGUAGUAUUCUUCUUCAACGAUCUCAAUUCUUCGUUCAUUGCAUCUUUCCAGCGGGAAUCUGCUAAAGCCUCCUGCACACUGUUAGGAAUAGAUACAGUAGAUAAUUGAUAUACAAAUGACUUAUUUGAUUCUGACAAGUGACAGGUAGACACAUAAUGGUUUAAUGGGUAUCUCACUCUGGAAUCAGAGUUUGGCUCACUCAUGGAAUACUUGUGUUUACACUCAGGAUCUGCCUCAUAAGUGGGUUUGGGAAUACCUCUAUUAAUACGCUCUGGAAGGCGAUGAAGUGGAGGUGCAUCCGGUGUAAAAGACGAUUGGUUAUGAGAAGUAGUAUCUCGUGACACAUGCUGUAAUUGCUGCUCUGUUUCACUACAAUUGGGCGGCUGCAUCUCAUCUUCCAACUCAAUACCCGUGAGACCCGUAGGCUGUUCCUCUUCCUGACGUGUUGGCUACUCCUCAGUAGGCUGCUCGGUAGGACUAAACCCAGAAAACACGGGCUGCUGCCCUUCCCCAGGUGCCGUGGGCUGCUGCCCUUCCCUAGAAGCCGUGUACUCCAAGCUCAACACAUCCCUAUCAUCGCGAGUCAGAACUUCAUCAUUGCAGUACUCCCCCUGAAGUGAGGACGGGGAGGAACCAAAGAACAUUUCAUUCUCGUGAAAACUCACAUCCUGAGUAAUAAACAUCUUUUUACUCGAAGGAUGAUAACAACGAUACCCUUUCUGGGUAGUAGCAUACCCCAAAAAAACACAACGAAGAGCUCUAGGUUCAAGUUUAGUCUUCCGUUGAGGGGGAUGGAGGUGAACAAAUGCAACACAUCCGAUGACCCGUGGGGGAAGAUUGGGAGUCGGGGGGCUGCUAGUCUGAGAUGUGAGAGCCUGAAAUGACGUAUGGAAGUCGAGAGUUCGAGAUGGAAGGCAAUUAAUAAGAUAGGUUGCAGACGUAAGUGCCUCUCCCCAAUAAUGGAGCGGCAGAUGUGCCGCAAGUAGGGAAGCACGAACCAUUUCUAACAAGUGUCGAUUUUUCCUUUCUGCAACCCCAUUCUGUUGAGGAGUAUACAGACACGUGGUCUGAUGAACAAUACCGUGCAACUCUAAGAAUGAACGAAGUUCCAUAUUAACAUAUUCUCCACCAUUGUCACUGCGAAGAACCUGGAUAUUCCUGUUGUAUUGUACAACAAUCAUUUUAUGAAACCGUUGGAAGGCCGAACUAACUUCACUCUUUGACUUUAACAAAAUAACCCAAGUCAUGCGGGUACAAUCAUCAAUAAAAGUAACAAACCAAUGAGCACCACCAAGAGUGGCUACUUUUGACGGUCCCCAUACAUCAGAAUGCACAAUCAUAAAAGGAACAGUACUUUUAUUUAAACUGGGAGGAAAAGAGGUUCGAUGGCUUUUAGCCAUUUCACAAACAUCACACUUAAACUGAGAAACAUCAGUCUUGACAAACAAACUAGGAAAUAACUUAUGCAGAUAACCAAAGGAAGCAUGCCCAAGUCGCCGGUGCCACAUCCAGAUGUCUGACACUUUAUUAGUAACCCCUUGAGAAUCAUCAACGGAAAGAGCUUGAGUCAGCAAGCUAGAACUACUGGUGGUCAACUCCAAGUAAUAAAGUUUCCCUCUUCUAAUACCAUAACCAAUCGUCUUCCACGUCCGGAUGUCUUUAAAAACACAAAAAUAUGGCCAAAAAAUAACCAAACAAUGUAAGGCAAAGGUUAUUUGAGCAACGGACAACAAAUUAUAAUUUAGAGAGGGAACCACAAGAACAGUGUCAAGUUUCAUGGUAUCAGAAAGGGAAACAACGCCUUCCCCAAUAACAGGGACGGCAUUACCAUUAGCAACAUUGACCUCGGUUUGUGUGGAUGUUUUUAGUGAUGGAACCUGUCUAGAAUCAUAAGUCAUAUGUUCAGUAGCUUCGGAAUCAAUUAUCCAUGUAUUAUUCAUAACAUAAGUAGAAGUACUGAGUGCCUUACCAUCACUUCCUGCCGCAGCUAUCAUGGCAGAUGCCUUGUCGGCUAUCUGAUCCGAAUCAUUCUUGGUUUCUACAAUGGAGGCUCGAGAUUUGUUGCACCGAGGAUCACGGGUCUUAUCCCAAUUCUCGGGAUAUCCAAUCAGCUCAAAACAACGACUCUUGGAGUGUCCCAUCAGGCCACAGUGUGGGCACUUACCUUGUGGACGAUCCCGGCUUGUCUGGUUUGGCCGAGUUGAUCCAGGCCGGUUUUGUACCCCUUCUCGAUUCGACCCACUAGAUGAUCCACGGGCCCUUGCUGCCAUGGCAGCAGACUCCCCCUUAUCAACCUUUGUCUUCAUUACUUCCUUUCGAUCGGCUUCUCGACGAACAUAGGCAUAAGAAGCCUGCAGGCCAAGUGGGGGAUCCUUCCGCAGCACUUCUCCACGCACCUGAUCAAACCCAUCAUCAAGACCACCAAGAAACACAUAGACCCGUUGUCUCUCAGUGGAUUUCUGAAACACUUUGAUGUCAUUCUCACACUCCAUGGAUACUUUAUUAAAGUGAUCCAAUUCUUGGAAGAUCUCAGUGAGCUCCCCAAAAUAGGUAGCUAAGGGUCGGCCAUUCUGACGCAGACGGGAUGCCUUCUGAUUCAACGAAUAAAUUCUAGCCUCGUCAUUCUCAUCAAAGUAGGCAGCCUUCAAGGAGUCCCAAAUCUCCUUCGAUGUAGACAACCGAAUGUACCGUUUCAUAAUCUCGGGCUUCAUGGAAGACAAAAGCCAACUCUUAAUUUUUUGAUCUUCAGAAAACCAAUCAUCAUAUUUAGGAUCAUCUUCGCUAGGUGCCUUGAUAGACCCACGAAGAUAUCCCAUCUUCUUCCUUCCAGCAAUAUGAAUUUGAAUGAGAGGAGCCCAUAAAUCAUAGUUCUUUUCAUCCAAAACCAUACCAAUAUUAAAGCUUGAAUUCUCUGACUGCACCAUAAUUGGAGCAGCCACUGAAACAAUCUGUGAACCAGCCCCCUUUUCUUCAGCCAUCUCUCUGUUGCUUCGGUGUUGACUGACACAAACUAGGCAGAGGAAAAAAAAAACAGCAGCGGUGAUGGGACCUAGAUCACGUUGGACAAAACAACAGGGCAGCAACACCCUAUCUGGUGCUCGCUGCAAUCGGUCAGAGCAGCAACACCUUCUCUGGUGCUCACUGCAAUCAGUCAAGGAACGGGCAGCAACAACCCUAAGGUUGUUCGUUGCAAUGGAUCAGGUACACGGCAGGAAAAAAUUAGGGUUCAGUUUUUUUUUUCUAACCCGGCUCUGGUGCCAAGAAGAAAGAAUGCUUUUCAAUGAUAUUUUAUUUCAUAUCAAAACAAGGUAUAUAUACAACCCUAUACAGAUAUGGGAAAGAAUAAGGGAAGAAUAAUUACAUCCUAAACUAGGAAACCAAUUACAGUAGGAAUCCCACAAUUAUAGGAAUCCUAAUAUAAGUCAACAAAUUCGACUGGUUUGAAAAAUUGGGUACCAAGCUCAAUAAGAAGGGAGAGAAUGACAAGCAUAAGGCUUGUGUGGUGGCAAAAAGUUGGAAGAAUUGCUAUUAAACUACAAGGAGGUGUUUGCUCCAGUAGCCAGAGUGGAUACUAUUGGUUUGGUUUUCUUCAUGACUACUUAAAUUCAUGGUAAAUAUUUCAAUUAAAUGUAAAAUCUGCUUUUGUACAUGGGACUUGUAGGAACAAGUGUAUGUUGAAAAGAACCCCCAGUUAGAUUAUGAGUAUGAAGUUGACAUUAGAACCGGCUAGUGUGUUUGAAUUUGAUAUGGAAAAGUCUUGUUGUUAAGCUAAAAGAUGUCCUUUUUCUUGUAGGAUUAAGAGUACUGAGAGUCGUUAAUGUUUGUGGGACGUAACUUUGUACUGGAACUCCAAUACACUCAUGAGUUUGAUAUGGAUUGAUUGGUUGAAUCCCAUACUAAUUCCAAUAGGAGAAUGGUUAGGAAAACAUUCUACAUAGAACCUUUUUGUUCCAAAGACCUAUUUUUUGGAGAGUACUUGUGCUUUGUUAAAGAGGAGAAGGCUGAUCGUUUAGAAGCUGUUAUGGCUUCAUCUUCUGCAUCGAAUUUUGCAGUUAAGUUUAUUCCGCAAACUUAUGUCAUUAGUUAGUCAUGUUUAUUGUUCUUGUGUGUUGUUAUUCACUGGACAAAUCUGUGAUUUAUGGAUUGUGUUUAUAUUUAGUUCUUACACCUCCCACCCCACGUUAUGUGUAUACUAGUUGAAGAGAAAGCACGCCAAAUAAACAGUCAAUUGCGUGGAACUGAUAAUUCUUUGCCCUGAGGUCCUUUAGGUUUCGAUCAUCGAUUAUCUGUUUUGUGCUUGUGUUAAUGCUUUUCCUUUUGGUUCAACAAUUUUUGUUUCCACAAGAUACUAGUAAUUGGAUCUCAAAACAAAUUCUCCUCAACAUGCUCCAAUGAUUGAUCGCAGUGACCAACAAAGUGAAGUAUGGCUGGACAAACAUAAUUCGCUAGUACCUUGUUAGUCUGCAUGAACACUUGUUGCAAGAAACCCCAUUGUAAGUCAUAAAAAAAAACACUGGUACCGUAAGAAACCCUAUUGUAAGUCAUCACAGAAGAAAAUCAUCUUCUUGUUACUAGUCCUUAUUGCCUCUAGUUGAUAAUAAGAUGGCUUAGUUUGGUUUCCCAACAUUGAUGCAUUGGAAAUGUAUUACAUCGCGAACUGGUAGGUGUUGAGGGAAAACAGACCUUGUCACACGCCUUUGCAUAAAUAAAUAUAGUUUAUUAGUUUAAUCUAAUCUAAGUUCAGAAAAAUAUUGGUUAAAGCCGUCUCAUUAAAUGUAAUAUGUUUAAAUAGUAAGUCCAAGAAAUAUUUAAUAGAGAGAAUGUAAUUAAAGAAGUUAGAUUCAUGAGGCAUUUUUUUGUCAUACACAUACUAAACGUUCAUGAUCAUAGGAUUUUCAAUCGGACAUUAGAAAUCCGAUAGAAUCAGUAUGUAUUAUGUCUUAUCUUUUCAGAAAGUGACUACUCUCGAGUCAUUGAUGUGAAAGAUAUCACUCUGUGCCUCAUUAAUUAGAACCUAAUGGAACGUACAACGUGUAAGGUAGGGAUUGAAGAAUACAAAGGAGUUGAGUAACUAGGAUUGAUUAAAAGUUAAUAAUCAAACGAAUAAAGUUCGAAUUGGGCCUUAAGCUAAAUUUGGGUUUCAUAGUGAAAUUGGUAAUAGGCAGACUUUAUUGUGAUAAUGUAUAAUAAUAGGCAAUAUAGGACCUAUUUCUACCCAAGACAAUAAAAAAACAACAUAGCUAUUAUUAUGGUCUAGGAUACCAUGACUUCAAACAUGACUACUACAGGCAAAAUGUAUGAUAUUUGAUAGGAGCAUAUUUAUGUGAUUUAGUUAUCUUGUUUUCUUGCAUUUUCAUAGUUAGUUUCUAUUUAUUAUAGUGAUUUAAGCUAUUUUCGUGUGUUUGUAGGUCAAAAUGACAAAGUUGGCAAGAAAGUGCAAUUUGGAGCAUCUUAGAGCAAUUUUGAGCCUGGAAUGGAUAUCAUAUGUGGGGAGCACUUUGGAUGGACAUUUUUGAAGUUCAAAAGACUAGGAAUAUGCUAAGGAGAUGAAUAUAAUAAAUCCAAGACAACGAAGAUAAUGAAACAGCUCAAAAGAAGGAAACAUUAUCCAAAACCUUAUUCAACCUUAUCUUAUCCAAACUAACCUUAUCUUAUCUUAUCCUAUCCUAAUCUUCAUGCCUUAAUUCCAGUUGCAAGGGGGGAUUAUUUUCAGACUUCGAUACAUAAAAACUUGUUUCUAGAAGGCCUAUCCCUUCUACUAACCGCACCUUGUUUCCCUUUUCCCUCUUGGAUUCUGAAUUGAAUUAGUCUUUUUCCUUGUGGAUUUGGAUUGUGUAAAGCCUUUUCAGAAAUUAAUUAGGCUGUGACCCUUUCCUUGAGAACCAAGCCUUAUGCCGCACCCUAGGGCCCUUAUCCCUUAUUUCUGCUAAUUUCUAACCCUAGUCUGAUUUCCCUAGGGUUGGUCAUGCCUAUAAAUACAUAUUCUCUGCCACAAAUCAGAACAACACCCCCCAUAUAUUUCUACACCAUAAGUCAUGCCAAAUACACAGAAAUUCAUCAAGUGCCACAGCAAGGGGAAGGAAGGAAAGGAGAAGUCUUUGUGCCGUACCUGUGCUCAAGCUUUUGGGAGUGUUGGAGUGCCUCUUGGGUGUCUUCUAUCCUUGUUUUAGUUUUACAAUUAUGUUGAUUUCAUUGUGUUGCAAACAUGUGGAACUAAUUCCUUUAUAGUUGGAGGUGAAUUCGAAGCCAUGAUUAUAUAUUUUAUAUGAACUAAUUACGUCCAAUUAUUGUUUAUUGAGUCUUGAAUGUGAUUUACUUAUCUGAGUUAUCAAAACUUGUUUAUGUAUGUAGACUGAGGGUCGACACGUAAUUUGCAUGCAUGAUUUUGAUGUUAGAGUCUAAGGGAGUUUCACCGAAUCGUUAUAAACUUAUAUUCACAAGUAGUGGAAGUCACUAGUCAUGAUUGUAUUAAGUAAAUUCUAGGCAGGAGUAUCAUGCUUUACAUAGUUACAAAUGCUUCCUCAAUGCUUAUGGUUUUCAAAGAACUUAAUGACCUUCAAUAUGUGUUUCUAUCAUGCUUUUCAUAGUUAGGGAACUUGAUAAGGAUAAUUUGGUUGCAAUGCAUAUUCCAUCCAAUUCAAUGAGUUAAGGAAAAUCUGAUGGUUAAUUUGUGCUAUCAUGGUUAAUUUGGGGUGUUGUCAAUCAUAGUCUAAAAGAAUAAUAACUGUAAAUUGGUUUGUAUGCAUAUGUCAUGUGUGGAGAAGGACCCUUUAACUAGCCUUUCACCCUUUUCAAUUCACCAAAUUCGUUUUUAUAAAGUGUUUUAUGCAAAGUUUAUGUUUUAAGUUUUAAAUUCAUAAAAAACAAUCCCCCUUUCAUUGAGUCUUGUUAUUUGGGUCAAAGUCUGUUUUCUUCAAAUUCGUUUUUAUAAAGUGUUUUAUGCAAAGUUUCUGUUUUAAGUUUUAAAUUCGUAAAAAACAAUCCCCCUUUCAUUGAGUCUUGUUAUUUGGGUCAAAGUCUGUUUUCUUUUAGUCUUUUAGUCAAGUUAAGUCUUAUUUUUGUCGAAAUCACUUGUUAGGUCUAGAGUUGAGUCUUUUUUAUUGUUUGUUGUUGUUUUGAGUGUUUUGAGUCAGUUUUGAGUCUAUAGAGUCUGAUUUAGUGUUUUUAAGUCUUAUUUGUGUUGAUUAGCAUCCCUAGUUAAUCCCCAGUCUAGAACGAUCCCUACUUACAUCUUUACUACAAUUGUCAACAAUAGGGUUUAAUUUGUGUGUCAAGUUAAUUUUCACAUCAAAUUUUGGCGCCGUUGCUGGGGAUUAGGAAAAUUGCUAAUCUUCCCCUAGUUAUUGUUGUGAGUUUCAUUCUAUUUUGUUUCUGUUUUGUUUUGUUUUCUGAUUUUGUUUUGUGUUGUGUUGUGUUGCUUUCUUUGUUUUAGGUACUAGUUUAUGACUUGAAGUUCUUAACCUAUUCGUGCACAUGUAUUGGAGUUUGACGAUGAUUUUGAAUGAACGUUGAGAAGGAAAAAGAAGCAGCCAGAACCUAAUCCACCUGGUUCUAGCUCUGAAUCCGAAUCUGAAGUUGAAAAUGAAGAGGAAUUCAAAGAGGAACAAGACAUGGCUGUGGAUAAUCGAAUAAUCAAAGAACUUUCAGCAUCGGGAUUGGACAAUGUCAUGCCUCUCUGCAUUCAAUACCCUAUAGGAGCCCAAGGCAAAACCGAUGAGUUCGAGUUGAAGUUAAGCUUGCUGCAUCAUAUUCCCAAAUACCAUGGGCUGUCCAUGGAAAAUCCAAACAAGCAUUUGAAGGAAUUUGAAGUAGUAUGCUCAAGUAUGACACCCAUCAAUGUGGAUGGGAAUAUUUUGAAGAUGAAAGUCUUUCCAUUCUUUCUUAUGGACAAGGCUAAAGAUUGGCUUUAUGAACUAGCACCUGGAACCGUUACUUUUUGGGAAAGCAUGAAGAGAGCAUUCAUAAAGAAAUUCUUCCCAACUUCAAUAGUCAUUCUUUUGAGGAAGAAAAUUAGUGGAAUUCAACAAAGCUAAGGAGAAUCCUUUCCAGCGUAUUAUGAGCAUUUUAAGACGUUAGUUGCAUCCUGCCCAUAACAUCAAAUGAAGGAAGAGCUUUUAAUUCAAUAUUUCUAGGAAUGACUACUUCCAAUUGAGAGACAAAUGCUAGAUGCCUCGGCGGGUGGUGCUUUGGUUGACAAAACCUAAUUGCAGCCAAGAUCUUAAUAGCGAAUCGAGCCUUGAUUGCACAACAAUAUGAAGUAGUUGGAGGAAGAAACCCCCCAUGACAGCAAUAACAAGUAAAUGAGGUAAGUGCAAUUUUUGAAAUUCAAUCUCAAGUGACUAAUCUCACUGUUCUUGUGUCACAGGUUUUAGAUUGAUCCAAAGUGCAAGGUGCGGCAAUUUGUGGUGUGUGCUCUAUGCAAUGACAUCUCAAUGAUCAAUGCCCUUAAUUAAUAGAGAAUGGAGGAUGGGCUAAUGUCAGCCAAAAUCAGCCACGGAAUGAUCCAUUCUCUCACACCUACAAUCCGGGCUGGUGAGAUCACCUAAAUACGAAGUGGAGGGAGCCCCAACAACCUCAACACCAAUGGUGAUUUCGACAGCCGCCUCCUGGGAUAUUCAUAAGGUGAUUCAUACCAAUUCGACAUCAACCAUAAUCUGCCCAAUCAAACUCAGGUUCAUCAUUGGAUAAUGAUAAAUUUCUUCAAUUACUAACUUCAUUAACGCAGGGAUUACAAAAUCAAGCCAAAGAAGUUGGUGAAUUAAAGAAGCAAAUAGGGCAAAUGGCGGAAUUCAUGGGACAGUUUCAAGAGCAAGGCAAACUGCCUAGUUCAACAGUUAUCAAUCCGAAUAGAGGAUUUGAAACUGGCAACACUAUCACCUUGAGAAGUGGCAAGCAGGUUGGAACUAACCCACAACCAUCUAGAUCAAGUUAAAAUGAGGACAAGAAGUUGUUGAACGAAGAGGAUGAAAAAGUCAAGCCCACGGCAAGGGUAGAAAAACCCUUGUUGCAACCCCUUAAAGCCUCUAAGCCGUCCACCACAGGUAAGGUUGUUCCAAAUGUGACUCAUUCCAACCCUAUUCCACCCAAUGUACCUUUCCCUCACAAAUUUAUGCAAGCCAGGAACGAAGAGGAUGAAAAAGACAUUCUGGAGACGUUUAGGAAGGUGCACGUCAAUAUCCCACUCCCGCUCCUUGAUGCUAUAAAGCAAAUACUGAAGUACGCUAAGUUUUUUAAGAAGCUUUGUACAACAAGGAAACGAAUUAGGGAGAAAGAGAUGGUACAUGUAAGUGAGAAUGUCUUUGCAAUGUUGCAAAGAAAGCUGCCACCUAAAUGCAAAGAUCCAAGUAGUUUCACUAUCCCUUGUUUAAUUGGUAAUACAAGGUUUGAACAUGCUAUGCUAGAUUUAGGUGCAUCAAUUAAUGUCAUGCCAUAUUCUGUUUAUGCAUCUAUGAAUCUAGGAGAGCUUAAAAAUGAUGGUGUUAUUAUUCAAUUAGCCAAUCGAUCUAAUGUAUACCUGAAAGGAGUGUUGGAAGAUGUUUUGGUGCAGGUAGAUCACUUGAUUUUUCCUGCAGAUUUCUACGUGCCUGACAUGGAGGACUCAGGCCACUCUCCACCAUCGCCAAUCCUACUUGGACGACUGAUAGUAGCAUAUUUAUGCGACUUAGUUAGUUUGUUUUCUUGCAUUUUCAUAGUUUGUUUGUGUUUAUUAUAGUGUUUUAAGCUAUUUUUGUGUGUUUGUAGGUCCAUAUGACAAAGUUGGCAAGAAAGUGCAAUUUGGAGCAUUUUGAGGUAGUUUUGGGCAUCAAAUGGAUAGCUUAUGAAUGAAGCAAGAUGGAUGGACGAAUUUGAAGUUCAAGAGGCUAGGAAUGAGCUGAAAAGAGUGAAGAAAUAAAUCCAAGACAAAGAAGAUAAGGAAUUAGCUCAAAAGAAGGAACAUUAUCCAAAACCUUAUCCAACCUUAUCUUAUCUUAUCCUUGCCUAAUUUAGCCUUAUCUUAUCCUAUCUUAUCCAAAUCAGUUUGUGCCUUAAUUCCAACUAUUUCUAAGCGAUAAUUAUGCAUUUAAAACAUAUAUUUUAGAUUCUAGAAUCCUUAUCCCUUAAGUGCCGUAUAUUUGCCCUUACCUAGGUGAAUUAGGAUUUGUAAUCCUUCUCUACAACCAUGCCGUGUAUCCUUGUUCAUUAGGAUCAGAAAUAGGUGCUGGAACAUCCUUUCAAGAAGCCCUAUCCUUUCUCUUAAACCUGCCGCACC